This is a long non-coding RNA of Orussus abietinus, 515 nucleotides long. RefSeq lists it as uncharacterized. The transcript has 4 exons. Lineage: Eukaryota; Metazoa; Arthropoda; Insecta; Hymenoptera; Orussidae. The record is from RefSeq and is a predicted model, not a curated record.
ACACGGACGUGCAGUCGCAGCGAAUUAUCGAAAAGCCCCGUUCUUUCGCCGUCUCUCUGCAAACACGAGAAAAUCCCAAUAACACCACUCGGAGAACGAGUAGGAAUAACUCGGUUGCGAAAUCCCACUUUGAUAUCUUCACGGAACUGGUACCCACGAAACAACACGCCUCUUACGAAAAAAGAAUUAACGUUCCCGUUUAAGAAACCGCUAAAAUCCGCAACUUCACGACAAGCGACUUGGUACAAGGCUGAUGAUUUCCUUGUUUACAUACUUUUCCCAUUUAAUUCAUCUUGGACAGCGACUCGUGUCGUCAACGAGGCCGUUCUUCGUCUCUAUAAUCUUACCGGCCGAUAACGAAUGACGGACCCGUGGUUACCGUAAAUUACCCGACUCGUGCAGAGCUCUGGCUACACCCCGGCCUCUCCAGUUGCUGUCGACGGAGAUGAUCCUGAGUUCCACUCCAUUUUCUCCGGUGUACCUUCCGGUGGCCGUGACUUGCUUGUCCAGGAAGU